ACUCAUCGAGCAGGCAUAUAAGCCCAACACCCAUUUGGAGAAAAGCCUUGGCGAUAUCAUAAGAAAGAAGAGGAGAACAUUAAAAGCUGGUUGAUUGGAUGCGGCGACCCAAGAAUGUGAUCUUUUUCACUCACGUUUUGUCCUCCUUUCAUUGAAGGGACUGUGGACACGAAUAGGCUUUGCUUUUAGAGGUUCCGAGAAGAGGAG
This 207-nucleotide long non-coding RNA is filed under the name Phoenix dactylifera (date palm). RNAcentral describes it as "long non-coding RNA (PDAC_LNC004712)". The record is from RNAcentral. Lineage: Eukaryota; Viridiplantae; Streptophyta; Magnoliopsida; Arecales; Arecaceae.